Lepisosteus oculatus (spotted gar) is the source of this 119-nucleotide ribosomal RNA. Lineage: Eukaryota; Metazoa; Chordata; Actinopteri; Semionotiformes; Lepisosteidae. The record is from Ensembl.
GCCAGCAGCCAUAUCACCCUGCAACUCACAACCGGCAACCCACUGAAGCUAAGCAGGUGUGAGCCUGGUCAGUACCUGUAUGAAAGACCUCCUGGGAAAAACUAAGGUUGCUGCUGGAA